GACAUACAAGUAGUUAGGGAAGGAAACUGGACGACCCUUCGGGGAGUCUUGUACAGGUGCUGCAUGGCUGUCGUCAGCUCGUGUCGUUGAGAUGUUCGGUUAAGUCCGCUAACGAGCGCAACCCUCGCUGUGUGUUACAAGUGUCACACGGAACUGCCGGUCAUAAACCGGAGGAAGGUGGGAUGACGUCAAGUCAGCAUGGCCUUUAUAUCCUGGGCUACACACACGCUACAAUGGGAAGGGACAAUAGGUUGCGAAGCCGCGAGGCGGAGCCAAUCCAGCAAAACUUCCCUCAGUUCAGAUUGCAGGCUGCAACCCGCCUGCAUGAAGUUGGAGUUGCUAGUAAACGCAGGUCAGCCAUACUGCGUUGAAUACGUUCCCGGGGCUU
RNAcentral lists this ribosomal RNA (388 nucleotides) under uncultured Anaerolineaceae bacterium. RNAcentral describes it as "bacterial SSU rRNA". It matches the Rfam family "Bacterial small subunit ribosomal RNA", at positions 983 to 1382 of the family's 1533-position model. Lineage: Bacteria; Bacillati; Chloroflexota; Anaerolineae; Anaerolineales; Anaerolineaceae. The record is from RNAcentral.